CGAGGUGCUUUUUGUAGCAAUACGAGAAGUAUCCUAGUGGCGAACGGGUGAGUAACGCGUUGGUGACCUGCCCCAAAGUGUGGGAUAACAGUCCGAAAGGAUUGCUAAUACCGCAUGUGGUCAUUGGAUUUAGAAACCGAUGGCUAAAGGAGUAAUCCGCUUUGGGAGGGGCCUGCGUCCCAUCAGCUAGUUGGUAGGGUAACGGCCUACCAAGGCGACGACGGGUAGGGGACCUGAGAGGGUGGCCCCCCACAAUGGAACUGAAACACGGUCCAUACACCUACGGGUGGCAGCAGUAGGGAAUAUUGCUCAAUGGGCGAAAGCCUGAAGCAGCAACGCCGCGUGCGCGAUGAAGGUCUUCGGAUCGUAAAGCGCUUUUCUGCGAGAUGAGAAAGGACAGUAUCGUAGGAAUAAGUCUCGGCUAACUACGUGCCAGCAGCCGCGGUAACACGUAGGAGGCGAGCGUUAUCCGGAUUCACUGGGCGUAAAGCGCGUGCAGGCGGUUUGGUAAGUUAGGCGUGAAAGCUCCCGGCUCAACUGGGAGAGGUCGUCUAAUACUACCAGACUAGAGGACAGUAGAGGAAGGUGGAAUUCCGGGUGUAGUGGUGAAAUGCGUAGAUAUCCGGAGGAACACCAGUGGCGAAAGCGGCCUUCUGGACUGUAACUGACGCUCAGACGCGAAAGCUAAGGUAGCAAACGGGAUUAGAGACCCCGGUAGUCUUAGCUGUAAA
This 731-nucleotide ribosomal RNA is filed under the name uncultured Chloroflexota bacterium. RNAcentral describes it as "bacterial SSU rRNA". It matches the Rfam family "Bacterial small subunit ribosomal RNA", at positions 63 to 806 of the family's 1533-position model. Lineage: Bacteria; Bacillati; Chloroflexota. The record is from RNAcentral.